AUUGAACGCUGGCGGCAGGCCUAACACAUGCAAGUCGAGCGGAUGAAGGGAGCUUUCUCCUGUCUUCAGCGGCGGACGGGUGAGUAAUGCCUAGGAAUCUGCCUGGUAGUUGGGGAUAACGUCCGUAAACGGGCGCUAAUACCGCAUACGUCCUGAUGGUGAAAGUGGUGGAUCUUCGGACCUCACGCUAUCAGAUGAGCCUAGGUCGUAUUAGCUAGUUGGUUGGGUAAAGGCUUACCAAGGCGACGAUCCGUAACUGGUCUGAGAGGAUGAUCAGUCACACUGGAACUGAGACACGGUCCAGACUCCUACGGGAGGCAGCAGUGGGGAAUAUUGGACAAUGGGCGAAAGCCUGAUCGAGCCAUGCCGCGUGUGUGAAGAAGGUCUUCGGAUUGUAAAGCACUUUAAGUUGGGAGGAAGGGAAGUAAGUGAAUACCUUGCUGUUUUGACGGUACCAACAGAAUAAGCACCGGCUAACUUCGUG
This 484-nucleotide ribosomal RNA is filed under the name uncultured bacterium. RNAcentral's name for it is "partial 16S ribosomal RNA". It matches the Rfam family "Bacterial small subunit ribosomal RNA", at positions 30 to 507 of the family's 1533-position model. The record is from RNAcentral.